UUAGAGUUUGAUCCUGGCUCAGAACGAACGCUGGCGGCGUGGAUAAGACAUGCAAGUCGAGCGAGAGAAUUGCUAGCUUGCUAAUAAUUCUCUAGUGGCGCACGGGUGAGUAACACGUGAGUAACCUGCCCCCGAGAGCGGGAUAGCCCUGGGAAACUGGGAUUAAUACCGCAUAGUAUCGAAAGAUUAAAGCAGCAAUGCGCUUGGGGAUGGGCUCGCGGCCUAUUAGUUAGUUGGUGAGGUAACGGCUCACCAAGGCGAUGACGGGUAGCCGGUCUGAGAGGAUGUCCGGCCACACUGGAACUGAGACACGGUCCAGACACCUACGGGUGGCAGCAGUCGAGAAUCAUUCACAAUGGGGGAAACCCUGAUGGUGUGACGCCGCGUGGGGGAAUGAAGGUCUUCGGAUUGUAAACCCCUGUCAUGUGGGAGCAAAUUAAAAAGAUAGUACCACAAGAGGAAGAGACGGCUAACUCUGUGCCAGCAGCCGCGGUAAUACAGAGGUCUCAAGCGUUGUUCGGAAUCACUGGGCGUAAAGCGUGCGUAGGCUGUUUUGUAAGUCGUGUGUGAAAGGCGCGGGCUCAACCCGCGGACGGCACAUGAUACUGCGAGACUAGAGUAAUGGAGGGGGAACCGGAAUUCUCGGUGUAGCAGUGAAAUGCGUAGAUAUCGAGAGGAACACUCGUGGCGAAGGCGGGUUCCUGGACAUUAACUGACGCUGAGGCACGAAGGCCAGGGGAGCGAAAGGGAUUAGAUACCCCUGUAGUCCUGGCAGUAAACGGUGCACGCUUGGUGUGCGGGGAAUCGACCCCCUGCGUGCCGGAGCUAACGCGUUAAGCGUGCCGCCUGGGGAGUACGGUCGCAAGAUUAAAACUCAAAGAAAUUGACGGGGACCCGCACAAGCGGUGGAGUAUGUGGCUUAAUUCGAUGCAACGCGAAGAACCUUACCUGGGCUUGACAUGUAAUGAACUACAUGUGAAAGCAUGCGACUCUUCGGAGGCGUUACACAGGUGCUGCAUGGCCGUCGUCAGCUCGUGUCGUGAGAUGUUUGGUUAAGUCCAGCAACGAGCGCAACCCCUGUUGCCAGUUACCAGCACGUGAAGGUGGGGACUCUGGCGAGACUGCCCAGAUCAACUGGGAGGAAGGUGGGGACGACGUCAGGUCAGUAUGGCCCUUAUGCCCAGGGCUGCACACGUACUACAAUGCCCAGUACAGAGGGGGCCGAAGCCGCGAGGCGGAGGAAAUCCUGAAAACUGGGCCCAGUUCGGACUGUAGGCUGCAACCCGCCUACACGAAGCCGGAAUCGCUAGUAAUGGCGCAUCAGCUACGGCGCCGUGAAUACGUUCCCGGGUCUUGCACACACCGCCCGUCA
This 1372-nucleotide ribosomal RNA is filed under the name uncultured bacterium. RNAcentral describes it as "bacterial SSU rRNA". It matches the Rfam family "Bacterial small subunit ribosomal RNA". The record is from RNAcentral.